RNAcentral lists this long non-coding RNA (328 nucleotides) under Nicotiana benthamiana. Its description in RNAcentral is "long non-coding RNA (NBEN_LNC021593)". Lineage: Eukaryota; Viridiplantae; Streptophyta; Magnoliopsida; Solanales; Solanaceae. The record is from RNAcentral.
GGCUAGUCCAGUCCCCGAGAAACUCUCUCGAGAUUCCACUAACUUCGUUAAGCUUACGGGUGCUUAACAAACCGUUACAAACUGAGAACUUGAGUCACACAAGCCUCAACAACCUUUGCUCGAGAUUUUCACUAACUUCGUUAAGCUUACGGGUGCUUAACAAACCGUUACAAACUGAGAACUUGAGUCACACAAGCCUCAACUACCUUUGCUCGAAGAUACCACACUUCAAGACUUCAACCGAAGGAAUGAAAAUGUACCUUCUUACAACCACAAGGGAUUAACACUUCCCUUCAAGUGUAUACAAACACUUAGCACUCAAGACAAG